UCGGCUUUGUUCCUUCGCACGAAUGUAGAAAUUUUCACGAGUUGGCCGUUCCUUCGACGACAUUACCUUCCCGUUGGAUCGGAAGUUACGAAAUUUUUUUGAUCUGAAGCAACUACGGGAGCUCGCUUGCUGUGAAGGUAACUUUCUCCCUUUCGCGCGCUUCUUCGGCCAAAUCCCGUAAAUCCGCUGAACCAAAGGAUUUCGUAAAUCCGGAAUUUACCACGAAAAGAGGGGAUUUUCCGUCAACCGUGGCUUUCAUUUGCAUUUUAGGCCGUUUGGCUGGAUUUCGCCCAAAUCCGGCCUAAAUCCGCAUACCAAACAGCCCUUAUAGUGGCGUAUACUCUACCCCGCAACAAUUACAAAUCAGGCAGUUGAUACACGAAAUAUCGUGAAUAAUAUGACCACACGAAACAAUCUCAACCAAGCUAGGGUCUUCAGUCGGUCGAGGAGAAUGGCGAUGCCCUUCAAGAAGCGCUUCGGAAUUACCCUGCUCCAAGGCCUCGUAGCAACUAGAGUGAAGCAUCAUCCGCGACCAAAAGAUGCUCGACAGCAGGCGCUCUUUUCGUUAGACGCCAUCACAUUCGACUUCUUCAUGCUCAUCCGCGGCUUCUGUCCUUGAAGGCCUUUGCCAAAUGCUGUGCUCUAGGGAUAUUGUUCUUGCUGAUCACGCACUUCACUGCUUACCUUGCGAGUAUCCUGCUAAUUUCUUCUUUGAAUAUCCUGGACUGGACCUGGCUUCAACUUCUUCCUGCAUAUCAAUAUUUCUUAUUCAACUAGCAGGCAUAGCCCUAAAAAUUUGGAGGGACGCAUGAUUGCAUCAGGAAGUGAUCAAACCAAGCCGCAACCUCUAAUUAGAUACUGUGUUAGAAAAGAAUUACAUGCAAAUCCAUACAUGAAAUAUGAUCUCAUGAGGCAAUCAAAUAAUGUGAAGCUUUGGAGGGAAAAGGUGGAAGGAAAAAAAAAUAUUGUGGACAACUGCAAGUGUCCUUAAUUUAUUUCAAACUAAGGUGAAUUGAAAUUUGAGAAAUUUUCAUUCACAACGGCUUCCUGUACCUAGUUGCAAUUUCAGUCUUUUGAUGUUCUAUUUACAAGUGUUAAUGUUUGUAGAAUGUUGACCUUAAAUAUGUAAUGCAUGUUCUCAUUACCAGUGUCGA
Molecule: long non-coding RNA, 1154 nt
Organism: Dendrobium catenatum
Lineage: Eukaryota; Viridiplantae; Streptophyta; Magnoliopsida; Asparagales; Orchidaceae
Exons: 3
Source: RefSeq, a predicted model, not a curated record